RNAcentral lists this long non-coding RNA (1423 nucleotides) under Homo sapiens (human). Its description in RNAcentral is "HSALNT0139447". The record is from RNAcentral. Lineage: Eukaryota; Metazoa; Chordata; Mammalia; Primates; Hominidae.
AUGCAUGAGAGGUGGGAAGUUGGAGCAAGGGCAUCUUGUUUGCAUGAGUGAAGACUGCAAUUGAAUGGUUAGCCACUGAACCAAUAAAUACACUCAUUCAGCACGCAGGCAAUGGUGAAGCACAGAGUAUUGUCCCUUCCAUCAUUCUUCCUGGAAAAAGCAAGCAAACGUCAUGGAAAAGUUCCAGAAAUGACAGCUUUCUUCCUGCAUGUUAUCAGAUGUUCUCUUUUUGCCCUUUCGUGAUGACCUGCCUAAGACUUGCAUACAGUUUGGAAUGGAAUGCCUGGGCUCAAAGGCUACAGCCCACAGGUCAGCAUCUGACAUUUUCAUGCACACCGUGUACAGCUCCCUGUGUGGUGGAAUGUGUCAUGUCAGAACAUGAAGAUCUGUGACAAGGCCUGGCAAUGGCUUUGACAGAGAAACUUCUCAGAAAAACUUGCCUGUCUUUUUCUAAUGAGGAAAUCCCAAAAAGAGAAGCUGAAACUUUCCUGUUGUAGAAGGGUAAUAAGUAAGCUGUGGAGAAAAUUGGACAAAUGCAGAAAUCUAUAUAAAGCAAGUGUGACUUUUUCCCGGGAGAAGAUCUUGCCAGAAAACAUGGUGGUCGUAUCAUAUCUGAUUGACUGGUGCAAAACAUGGACUAGGUUUAGUUUUCUGCACUGAACUGAAGACUGUCUUAUGCCUCCAAAAUGCACUGCAGAGUGUCUGCCAACAAUUGUUCACUAGCUGUGAAUGUUUGUUCCUUUUCAAUGCUUCAUCUAAUUCCAGGUGCCAGUGACUUUGCUACCACUCUAAAUGUGGUUAAAAAGAACAACUUUCAAAUUGAUUGUAAGUGGAAAUAAUAGGUCUUUAUAAUUUGUCUAUAAUAUAAAGGACUCUAGAUAAAACCGUUAAAUCUCUCCCAUGACUUACGUAUAAAGUGCUGCUUUCAUUUCACAAGGAAAUUAUUGAUUUCAAUUAGUUCUCUUUAUACUAGAAAUCAUCUGGUAUUAAUUUAAAAAUUUUUGAGAUGUCUGUGGAAUAAGCAAAUGAGACAACAAAAAGCUAUGUUUUAAAAAAUAAAACUUUCUGAUAUAUACAAAAUUAAUAUUCUUUUGGGGAAAAUUCAAAAUAUAGAAAAUUAUUGCUUAAGUCCCUGCAAAAUUCUAUCACCCAGAGAUAAACAUAGUUAACAUUUCUUUUUGUGAGCAUUCUCUAGAGAUAAUGCUUUUUUUCAUAUUCUUGGGCAAGUUAUUCAGUCUUUCACUGUGUAAGCAUAUUUUUCCUCUUCUAUAAAAUGGGAAUAAAAAUGAUACUUGUCACCUAGGGUUGGAGAUUUAAUGAGUUAAUAUGUAUAAAAUGUGUAACUUAGUACCUGAAAAUAGUUAAUAAAGAUUUACUGACAAGGCAUGGUGGCUCAUACCUGUAAUCCCAACCAACAUAUUGG